UAUAGAUGGACUGGUAAAUGGUCUAUAGGUGGACUAGUAAACGGUCUAUAGAUGGACUAGUAAACGGUCUAUAGAUGGACUGGUAAACGGUCUAUAGAUGGACUGGUAAACGGUCUAUAGAUGGACUAGUAAACGGUCUAUAGAUGGACUGGUAAACGGUCUAUAGAUGGACUGGUAAACGGUCUAUAGAUGGACUGGUAAACGGUCUAUAGCCUUUGGAUCUAGAGCUCUUUCUGGGGCAGAACAAAACUAUGCCCAAAUAGAAAAAUAAGUCCUGGCAAUAGAGAUCGGACUAGAGGUUUCACCAGUAUGUCUAUGGUUUCCAGGUCUGAGUUCAAUCCGAC
RNAcentral lists this long non-coding RNA (344 nucleotides) under Salmo salar (Atlantic salmon). RNAcentral's name for it is "lncRNA (ENSSSAG00000111632.1, ENSSSAG00000112919.1)". Lineage: Eukaryota; Metazoa; Chordata; Actinopteri; Salmoniformes; Salmonidae. The record is from RNAcentral.